AAAAAAAAAAACAUUACAUGAAGUAACUAAAAAAAAAAGAAUAUAUAAAGUGAUCAAAGAAACAAUGCAUGAGUAAUCCAAAAAAAAAUUAAGAAUUCCAUGAAGUAAUCCAAAAAAAAAAAAAUGGCUGAAAAUUUCAAAUUUGUUUUUCGAGUGAUCAUUUUUGUUUUCCUCUUUCUUGUUGUAGUCAAAGGUAUAGCCACUACAAAUAAUUUAUCAGCUUUCAAACCAGGAAAAGAAUGUGUUACUAACAAAGAUUGUCAUAAAAUUCUUCGGAAAAUUAAUGAUGUCAAACGGAAUUGCUUGAAUGGUUAUUGUCGAUACGAAAAUAAGAUGGGGUGGUGGGUCAAAUCACCCCCCUAAAUUCUAAAUUGUUUUUCUUUUCAAUAAGUGAUUUUCACAAGAGCGGUGCUAAAUAAGACAGAAAUAGAAAUUAACAAACACAAGAAUGAACAUGCGUUUUUACUUUUAUGAGCUUAAAUAUUAUAAUAUUAAUAUUAUAAUAUUAGCAUUUGGCGGAAAUCACCCCAUUGUUAGUGUGGAAAUCAACGGAUGACAUGUAUUCACAUGUUUCGUUUGUCUAGUCCUUCGUACUAUUAACCAUUUCCGUUUUCACAUAUAUUUAGCUUUUCUUUUUGUGAUUUCUCGUCUUAGUGAGACGUUUGUGUUGGUCGUCGUCUUGUUGCGGCGUUAUUGUGUUGUCCUGUUAUGGUACGAUGUUUGUUCGUUUUAGAUUGACAGAUUAGAUUCGGCUUAGUGCAUAUUCAAUCAAUGACUUUGGCGCCGUCAACGUUGCAUACUCGGAAACAUGAGUAUUUCUAGCACUUAAAUUUCGUCAUUUUUGUAGGUUUUGUCACACUUGUAGGCGUUUUACCGUCGAAGCUAUUAACAUGAAUGCUGCGAGUUUGUUCACAAAUUCAUUCUUUUCAGUUUUUAGCGAUUAUGAAUUGUAUUAUUCGAUAUAUUCUAUCAAUUUAAAUGAAUGAAUUAAUGUCGUUGUUUGUAAAAAUAAACCAAGAAAAAAAACUAAAACUACAAACAACGAGAAAAUUCCCGUAAAACACCGAUAUAGGACAAAAGAGCCCCCACAACUCAACCACCAAAAAUAAAAGACUACAUGUUUUAAACCGCGAGAGGAGAGUGAUUUAUUCAGGUUUACACUUUAGGUUGCUAAUAGUCAACAUACUAUGAAGAGAUAUAAUCCUCUUGGGGGAGUUGCACCUUGGCACCAUGUGAAUUUCAAAUAGUGCUUGAUGAGCAUUGACUAAUCACUACAACAUUUUUUUGCUUUAAAACAAUAGUUGAAAAGUGCAGCCAAAAACUGUGAAAAAUGUUGCCUAAAAGGUAUAGGUUUCAAGUCUGGCUAAUGUGGUGCAGCUUUCAUCUUCCUCUGCUAGGUUUUGGCAAUUUGCAGCUUUCCUUCCAUCUUCUAACAAACCGACCACCAACACCUCCACCAUUCGCCUUGCCUUCUACAUGCAGUCUCUUGAGAGCCAACCACUUUAACCUCCUUCACUAAUAGAAAUCUCGUGUUUAGAGACCGAUUUAGUGAUCGAAAAAUUUCGGGCACUUUAGAGACCAAAAUUUCAAACGUAAAAGUCAAAAAAUAUUUAGUCGCUAAAUCGGUCACUACAUAAUUAUAGAGACCGAAUUGGAGACCGACAAUUAGUGGCCAAUAUUUCGGUCACUUUAGAGACCGAAUUAGAGAUCAAAAUAUUGAGCUUCAAAGUAAAAAAAUACUCGGUCGCUAAAUCAGUCGCUAAGUAAUUAUAGAGACCAAAUUAGAGACCGGUUAUUAUCGACAGCACCAACACAAACAUUUUUUUCUUCCAAAUCACUAAAUUCUUUUUUAAUAUUAUUACUAUUUGUUUCCCACACUCACUGCUUAUUGUGACUAGGUUGUAGUCAGCUUUUAAUUUUUCAAACUUUAAGUUUUCUUUUUUUUCAAACUUAUUGUGAAAUUGACAAAGCUUCACAAAGUGAACUCUCCCUUUUCUAUUAUUUAUCAAAGCUUUGAUGGCAAAUCCAUUAUCAUUCUCUACUUGAGAUUUGAACAGUUUGAUGGAUCGGUUGCUUCCAAACGACAUCACAUGGACUCCUUACAAGGUCCAUCAAGAUGUUUGUCCCUUUGAGGAUAUAUCUUUGUUCUCCGGUUGGAUCAGGUGUAGGCCGAUCAAAGUAAGAUAUCUUCCAGAGAGAGUGUUACGACAAUUUGGCUACGUGCAGACUAUUUCCCGUCAUCCAGAUUCCGCCGCGAAUAUAUUGGACACGGUAAAUCAUAUUGAUCAGUAUUGGCUCAAUUACACGGAUCACGUUCUGACAUGCUUGGCAGUCGUGCUACCAUUCCGUCAGACACCGCCCCUGGAUACAUGUCGUGGUAUUUCAGGAUAUCACAUCCUUACAUCGUCCGUACCCCGGCUAGACACUCUAUUAUGCUUGGUAUAUUGGCUAGCAUCCGGAACAUACUCAAGGGUGUUAUGCACAACGAUGAAGUUCCAAACUGCUCUCGUGUUUACAACGAACUCGAGUCUGCAUACAGUUUGACAUUUGUACCGAAUCAGGGUGGACCCUGUUCUAGUAGUCAACACUAGGAAAUGUUAUUUUUAACUUUGGUUGUUUUAUUUUGUUUCUAUUUGAUGCUUUGGAAUAUUUUGGAUAAUAAUUUGUUUAA
Molecule: long non-coding RNA, 2671 nt
Organism: Trifolium pratense (red clover)
Lineage: Eukaryota; Viridiplantae; Streptophyta; Magnoliopsida; Fabales; Fabaceae
Exons: 3
Source: RefSeq, a predicted model, not a curated record